GGGCGGGGGAGGAGGAGAUGGCCAGUGAGGGGAGGAGACGGAUAGUGAGGGAGUAAAAGAUAGAAUAGACAAUGAGCUGGUGGAGGAAUGAUGGAAAGGGUGAAUGGUGAAGAGAGCAAGAAAAGAUGAACAACAAAUGAAGGAUGGGGCAGGAAGGAGAGACAUUGAAUUGGUGGAGGGAUGAUGUGUGAAGAAAGUAAGGGACAGUGAAGAAGAAAGAGAUAGCAGAGACAAGACUGAUGGAGGGAUGGUGGAAAGGAUGAAAGGUGAAGGAAGCUGACAAAAAUGUAAUAUAAUUAUUAUGUAAAUAGAGGAGGAGUUCAUGGCAACAGUCAGCUCUUCAGAAGGCAGCUCUCGAAAAAAAACUUUGAACAUAUGCAGACUAAAGUAGUUUUUGAAAUAGCUUGCUAUGUUUCUUUGGUAUACUAGCUUAGAACAUACUUAGUGUUAAAUGCUUGGCUAUGUUACUUGGUGGUAUGCUUUGUUUGAUACUUUUAAAGAAUAAUUUGUUAAAAAUUUGUCCGAUAUGUUUGGAAUUUCUUUGACAGUUUUGUCAUAAUAAAUGUCUGGAUUUAUUUUAAUAAAUAAGAUACCAUGAA
Long non-coding RNA from Pecten maximus, 599 nucleotides. RefSeq lists it as uncharacterized. The transcript has 2 exons. Lineage: Eukaryota; Metazoa; Mollusca; Bivalvia; Pectinida; Pectinidae. The record is from RefSeq and is a predicted model, not a curated record.